Hydra vulgaris (swiftwater hydra) is the source of this 333-nucleotide non-coding RNA. The record is from RefSeq and is a predicted model, not a curated record. NCBI's taxonomy places the organism in Eukaryota, Metazoa, Cnidaria, Hydrozoa, Anthoathecata, Hydridae.
CACUACUUCAUCUAAUAUGUCAAGUUUUAAAAAUUUCCUUUACAAUCCUCUCACAACCACUCCAGUUUUCAUUCGGGGUUUCUUUAAUGCCAUCAUUGCGUAAAUUAUUUCUCCUAGAGCGAUUUUCUUGCUGUGAAACUGUUCCCAAAAAUCUUAACAAGACAAUGAAAAGAUUCGCAGCAAUUCAAUGCUGAGCAAUUGCCUUGGAGAAAAGCUUCGUAAAAUGGCCGUAACCUACUCUAGUAUAAGGAUGUGAACAACUUAUUUUAUAGUAAAAAAUAUUGCAAGGUUGUAAAUAUAAGAGUUAAUCAUGAAUAAAAAAUGUUUUUAAAA